RNAcentral lists this ribosomal RNA (395 nucleotides) under uncultured bacterium. Its description in RNAcentral is "bacterial SSU rRNA". It matches the Rfam family "Bacterial small subunit ribosomal RNA", at positions 30 to 423 of the family's 1533-position model. The record is from RNAcentral.
AUUGAACGCUGGCGGCAGGCCUAACACAUGCAAGUCGAAUGGUAACAGGAAACAGCUUGCUGUUUCGCUGACGAGUGGCGGACGGGUGAGUAAUGUCUGGGAAACUGCCUGAUGGAGGGGGAUAACUACUGGAAACGGUAGCUAAUACCGCAUAACGUCGCAAGACCAAAGAGGGGGACCUUCGGGCCUCUUGCCAUCAGAUGUGCCAGAUGGGAUUAGCUAGUAGGUGGGUAACGGCUCACCUAGGCGACGAUCCCUAGCUGGUCUGAGAGGAUGACCAGCCACACUGGAACUGAGACACGGUCCAGACUCCUACGGGAGCAGCAGUGGGAAUAUUGCACAAUGGGCGCAAGCCUGAUGCAGCCAUGCCGCGUGUAUGAAGAAGGCCUUCGGUU